Long non-coding RNA from Mustela erminea (ermine), 143 nucleotides. RefSeq lists it as uncharacterized. Lineage: Eukaryota; Metazoa; Chordata; Mammalia; Carnivora; Mustelidae. The record is from RefSeq and is a predicted model, not a curated record. The transcript is spliced from 3 exons.
GAAGAGGUGGUGUACACACACACACAGGAAUAUUGCUCAGCCAUCAAAAAGAAUGAAAUCUUGCCUAUUGCAAUUAUGUGGGUAGAACUAGAAAUUAUCAUGCUAAGUGAAAUCAGUCAGUUGGGGAAUGUAAAUUGUCACAU